GACGAACGCUGGCGGCGUGCCUAAUACAUGCCAGUUGAGCGCUGAAGGUUGGUACUUGUACCAACUGGAUGAGCAGCGAACGGGUGAGUAACGCGUGGGGAAUCUGCCUUUGAGCGGGGGACAACAUUUGGAAACGAAUGCUAAUACCGCAUAAAAACUUUAAACACAAGUUUUAAGUUUGAAAGAUGCAAUUGCAUCACUCAAAGAUGAUCCCGCGUUGUAUUAGCUAGUCGGUGAGGUAAAGGCUCGCCAAGGCGAUGAUACAUAGCCGACCUGAGAGGGUGAUCGGCCACAUUGGGACUGAGACACGGCCCAAACUCCUACGGGAGGCAGCAGUAGGGAAUCUUCGGCAAUGGACGAAAGUCUGACCGAGCAACGCCGCGUGAGUGAAGAAGGUUUUCGGAUCGUAAAACUCUGUUGGUAGAGAAGAACGUUGGUGAGAGUGGAAAGCUCAUCAAGUGACGGUAACUACCCAGAAAGGGACGGCUAACUACGUG
This 497-nucleotide ribosomal RNA is filed under the name uncultured bacterium. Its description in RNAcentral is "partial 16S ribosomal RNA". It matches the Rfam family "Bacterial small subunit ribosomal RNA", at positions 28 to 507 of the family's 1533-position model. The record is from RNAcentral.